This 1669-nucleotide ribosomal RNA is filed under the name Verticillium albo-atrum. The record is from RNAcentral. Lineage: Eukaryota; Fungi; Ascomycota; Sordariomycetes; Glomerellales; Plectosphaerellaceae.
UCAAUAACCUGGCACCUGGUGCUGCGAUAUAGAGGCGUUGAGAUGGGUAGAGAGGGAGAAGGGGAAGGCGGAGGAGGGAAGAAGAGGGGGGGGGGAGAUGGAAGAGCGAGUCCAUGCCCUGGGCACCUUGCUUCUUGCAGACCUCUUUGUCGUCUGGCCGCGUCUUSGCUGUGCGUUGCAAGGCAAACACCGCUGUCACGGCCGCCUACGCGUCCGCUAGGCCGCGGACUACGCGCUGAUCUUUCAGNUCUGGGCCGAGAUUUUCUCAAUUCCCGGUAGGUGGUGUCUGGAAGUGGCCAGAGAUCCUACCAUCUAUGAGGUGGUGGAUUUUUGGCGUCAAGGUGGACAGCUACCCGGGAAUUGGACCUGAAAACUGGCCAAGUCGGACAGCUACCCGGGAAUUGGAACCAGUGCUGACGCUGGCAGCUACCCGGGAGUUGGCCGGAAAACGACCAAGUCGGACAGCUACCCUGGAAUUGCGGGCUACCCGGGAAUUGGGAAUCUGGAGAACGGAUUUUGGGUAGUUGGCUGCAAGACGGCCAAGUCAGACACCUGGGAGCUACCCGGGAAUUGGGAGCUACCCUGGAAUUGCGGGCUACCCGGGAAUUGGGAGCUACCCGGGAAUUGGGAGGUGCUACCCGGGAAUUGGGGGACGAAUUCGCCGAUUCCUCCACCACCUGGCCGUUUCACGCUAUCUUUUACUAGUGUACUGGAAAGAGCGUAUCGUCUUUAGUAUAUUUGACCAUUGAAAAUAUUAUAUGUACUUUAGUAUUAUUUGUUUUAGGUCUCGAAAGUMUGCUUAUCAUGUAAUGAUAUUCUUGUUGGGUYUCUGGUGAGAAGUCGUAUUSUCCGYAAAAACGGUAGAACGCUAAAABAAAUGCAUCGCAACCGHACAAGCAUACUCGGAUUACCCCAUAACCGGUCGUGCAUCGCCGCUGCAGCGUUGUGGCGGCCGUAGUAGUGGAAUUGAGGUUGUGGCGAGCUACCCGGGAAUUGGGGGCUACCCGGGAAUUGGGCAACAUCGAGGCGCCGACSACCCUCGGAACGGCGCAGGGCGGCUGCAGYKGCGCCCACCAAAAACWGGACCCAGGGUAUGUAAGAWGGGGAAAGCGAAAGCWGAACCCGGGCUGGGCUCCUCAGURCGUCUUUCAGUAAUGAGAAUCCGCCGAACACUGUUCCAUAUCAUAUCGAACGCUAUUUAGUGCCCUGUUACGAGCCUACCGGUUCAAGGGGCUACCGAGCACGCGUUCAACCUCCACGGAGGUAGCCGCCCAGGCGGUCUACCAAACUGGAGUUGCCUUACGGCGCUGAGAGGUUCGCCUCUACAGCGACGCAAGAUGGGCUCUGUGGGUGACUGGACCGUUGGCCAAACCUACUUCUAGAGCAGCGGGAGACGACGCGCGUGGUGGAAGCCGACCAGCUGACGCCGCGUGACCGGGACUCUACCUCUCGGGGCGCUCUAGCCUCGACCUCCCGCCUGCGGUGGAUGCUGCGUGGUGAACGGUGCCCUGGGKAAUUCAGAGGGGUAAGGUGGAUGCCGUUAGCGGDCCUCGCGGGCUAUGCCUGAGUUSCUGCCGGCGGUGCGUUCCUAGCGAACGUGACACCGGUGACUAAAUAUCUCUUCGGUGGUGCUUCGGCGCCCCGAUGNCCAUCCCCHNHNWACWAUAGW